UCCUCUUCCUCCCGACCCACCUCUCUCUCUCUCUCUCUCUCUCUCUCUCUCUCUCUCUCCUUCCAAACCCUAGCCUCCCCCUCCUGGCCACUCCUCUCUUCCCCACCCCCUCCCACGAAAACCCUAGUCGCCUUUUCCGCUCGCGUCGCGGUCGCCGUCAAUGGCCUGCCACUCGCGCCGCCGCUUCACCAUCGAGCUCGCGCGUCACGCCUCGGGAGAAGAGGAAGCCCACGCCAUUGUUCCCGGCGGAGCACGCCUUCGACGGGAGGAGGCCAGGCAGAUCGGGCCGUCGCCGCCGCCACUCAUUCGCGCCUCCUCCUCCCCACCGGAUCACGACCGAUCCUUCCUUGUGCCAGCCCCUUGUGGCCAUGAAGGGUGGUUGAGCCAUCGGGAGCGGCGGCGAUGGCCUGCUACAACUGCCUCUUCUUCCUUGUUGGCUUGUUCGCCUCCCUCCUCUUCACCCAGGUAAUGCGGAAGGCCCUCGUCACCCCGGCUCAUGGAUUCAUUUAGCCUCCUCCUCCAAUCACUGCCCUGAGAUCCACCGUUGAUGUGUUGUUUUUAGUGAGAGCGGGGAGGGAGGGGGGAGGCAGGGGGAUGGAGAUGGACAGGGGAAGGAGAAAGUAUGCCUUCGUGAUCUGCCCUCUAAAUGUGUUCAUUCCCCUUGAUGUGACCAUCACGGUACUGGACCUCAACGACGCUUGCUAGGACCCUAGACUGGAUCUUAUUGGUGGUUUCUCAACCUGUAGUGAGAACGUUUAGAAAAUCAGGAUUCAACUCCAUCUCGCCAGCACGUGUGGAUUCCAUUUGCUAAAGAUAUUGUGCCGGAUAUUGAUACAGAGAGUAGAGAGAUGUGGAUUACACCACCAAAGGGUCUUUUUGAGGUCAACACACGUCAUGGGUAAUCAAAGAAAGAAAGGUGUCACAUGGUUAGGUCCACCCAUCCUUUUUUUUGCAUGUGUUGAUCUCUUUUGCGUGCGAUGGUGGUGUCACAAGAUGACAAGAAGGCCAAGGUGAUGGCCGACGGCGACGACAGCAUGGUCACCAUCUUCAGCAACAUCGACUCCCAGCUGCAGUAGGACUCCGUUGCCUAUAGAGUCCGCGCCAAGUGUGGCUGCGCCACUCACUCGCGAAGCAUCGCUGAGAGGGAAAGAAGAAAAAGGAUUAUCAAGAGGCUUAGAAGGUUGCAAUACCUCGUGCCCAACAUGGAUAAGCAAACAAAUACUUCAGACAUGGUCAACAUUGUUGUAGACUACAUCAAAGUGGACCAAAUUGAGAAACUAAAAACAGGACCAAGGAAACUGCUCAUGCUGAGCCGAUCAGAAGUGCUGACGCCGCAGAACCAGAUAUGCGAGGUUAUGUUUGCACCAGUGUGAUUAGCAAGCCCAAGUUUUGCUUCAGUAGAUAAGUUGUAAAUGUCCUUCACACCGCGUUUCAAGUAGUAUCCAUGCCCAUUUCCCCCUUCUUUGGUUGUACUAUGGAUUAGCUUCAAUGGCUUCAAGACUAGGAGGUGACAAGUAGAAUGUUGUAAUUUAAGUAUUAAGGCAUUGCCAAUCUUUCAUUUCAACGCAAGUUGGAUUGCUUCUGCUUGUCAUCAUUUUUCCUGGUAAAAUUAUUGUAGGGAUCCUCUGCCUUGAGUCCAUUUCUUGCUAUCAAAGUUCAUUUUUCUAGAUUACUAGACUUAGCAUGAAGUGAUAUGUCUUGGCACAAAAUAUGUACCUCCUGCCUACUCGCCCCAAUUUUUUUGGACCCAAUGAGUUCUUCCAAAUUUUCAACCGUAAAACAUUCAUGUUAACCUUAUUUGCCUAUUCAUUUGUAAACUGGUCUCUCCAGGUUGAAGGCACAUAUUAUAAGCAGGUUACUCUCAGUGCCUCCUUUUGUUAAUAGGCAGUUAUAUCCAAGGUACCUAUGUAAAAUUUCUUGAUCAUUUUGAU
This is a long non-coding RNA of Triticum aestivum (bread wheat), 1931 nucleotides long. RefSeq lists it as uncharacterized. The transcript has 5 exons. The record is from RefSeq and is a predicted model, not a curated record. Lineage: Eukaryota; Viridiplantae; Streptophyta; Magnoliopsida; Poales; Poaceae.